This 431-nucleotide ribosomal RNA is filed under the name uncultured bacterium. RNAcentral describes it as "partial 16S ribosomal RNA". It matches the Rfam family "Bacterial small subunit ribosomal RNA", at positions 29 to 507 of the family's 1533-position model. The record is from RNAcentral.
AACGAACGCUGGCGGCAGGCUUAACACAUGCAAGUCGAGCGCCCCGCCAGGGGAGCGGCAGACGGGUGAGUAACGCGUGGGAACGUACCUUUUGGUUUGGAACAACUCCGGGAAACUGGAGCUAAUACCGGAUAAGCCCUAACGGGGAAAGAUUUAUCGCCGAAAGAUCGGCCCGCGUCUGAUUAGCUAGUUGGUGAGGUAACGGCUCACCAAGGCGACGAUCAGUAGCUGGUCUGAGAGGAUGAUCAGCCACACUGGGACUGAGACACGGCCCAGACUCCUACGGGAGGCAGCAGUGGGGAAUAUUGGACAAUGGGCGCAAGCCUGAUCCAGCCAUGCCGCGUGAGUGAUGAAGGCCUUAGGGUUGUAAAGCUCUUUUGUCCGGGAAGAUAAUGACUGUACCGGAAGAAUAAGCCCCGGCUAACUUCGUG